RNAcentral lists this ribosomal RNA (429 nucleotides) under Verrucomicrobiota bacterium. Its description in RNAcentral is "Verrucomicrobia bacterium partial 16S ribosomal RNA". It matches the Rfam family "Bacterial small subunit ribosomal RNA", at positions 355 to 776 of the family's 1533-position model. The record is from RNAcentral. Lineage: Bacteria; Pseudomonadati; Verrucomicrobiota.
UGGGGAAUCUUCCGCAAUGGACGAAAGUCUGACGGAGCAACGCCGCGUGAGUGAUGACGGUCUUCGGAUUGUAAAGCUCUGUUAAUCGGGACGAAUGGUUUGUGUGCAAAUAGUGCAUAGACAUGACGGUACCGGAAUAGAAAGCCACGGCUAACUACGUGCCAGCAGCCGCGGUAAUACGUAGGUGGCAAGCGUUGUCCGGAAUUAUUGGGCGUAAAGGGUUCGCAGGCGGAAAUGCAAGUCAGGUGUAAAAGGCAGUAGCUUAACUACUGUAAGCAUUUGAAACUGCAUAUCUUGAGAAGAGUAGAGGUAAGUGGAAUUUUUAGUGUAGCGGUGAAAUGCGUAGAUAUUAAAAAGAAUACCGGUGGCGAAGGCGACUUACUGGGCUCAUUCUGACGCUGAGGAACGAAAGCGUGGGUAGCAAACAGG